RNAcentral lists this ribosomal RNA (1479 nucleotides) under uncultured bacterium. RNAcentral describes it as "bacterial SSU rRNA". It matches the Rfam family "Bacterial small subunit ribosomal RNA". The record is from RNAcentral.
UGAGUUUGAUCCUGGCUCAGAACGAACGCUGGCGGCAGGCUUAACACAUGCAAGUCGAGCGCCCCGCAAGGGGAGCGGCAGACGGGUGAGUAACGCGUGGGAAUCUACCCAUCUCUACGGAAUAACGCAUGGAAACGUGUGCUAAUACCGUAUACGUCCUUCGGGAGAAAGAUUUAUCGGGGAUGGAUGAGCCCGCGUUGGAUUAGCUAGUUGGUGGGGUAAAGGCCUACCAAGGCGACGAUCCAUAGCUGGUCUGAGAGGAUGAUCAGCCACACUGGGACUGAGACACGGCCCAGACUCCUACGGGAGGCAGCAGUGGGGAAUAUUGGACAAUGGGCGCAAGCCUGAUCCAGCCAUGCCGCGUGAGUGAUGAAGGCCCUAGGGUUGUAAAGCUCUUUCACCGGUGAAGAUAAUGACGGUAACCGGAGAAGAAGCCCCGGCUAACUUCGUGCCAGCAGCCGCGGUAAUACGAAGGGGGCUAGCGUUGUUCGGAUUUACUGGGCGUAAAGCGCACGUAGGCGGACUAUUAAGUCAGGGGUGAAAUCCCGGGGCUCAACCCCGGAACUGCCUUUGAUACUGGUAGUCUUGAGUUCGAGAGAGGUGAGUGGAAUUCCGAGUGUAGAGGUGAAAUUCGUAGAUAUUCGGAGGAACACCAGUGGCGAAGGCGGCUCACUGGCUCGAUACUGACGCUGGGGUGCGAAAGCGUGGGGAGCAAACAGGAUUAGAUACCCUGAUAGUCCACGCCGUAAACUAUGAGAGCUAGCCGUCGGGCAGUAUACUGUUCGGUGGCGCAGCAAACGCAUUAAGCUCUCCGCCUGGGGAGUACGGUCGCAAGAUUAAAGCUCAAAGGAAUUGACGGGGGCCCGCACAAGCGGUGGAGCAUGUGGUUUAAUUCGAAGCAACGCGCAGAACCUUACCAGCCCUUGACAUCCCGAUCGCGGUUACCAGAGAUGGUUUCCUUCAGUUAGGCUGGAUCGGUGACAGGUGCUGCAUGGCUGUCGUCAGCUCGUGUCGUGAGAUGUUGGGUUAAGUCCCGCAACGAGCGCAACCCUCGCCCUUAGUUGCCAUCAUUCAGUUGGGCACUCUAAGGGGACUGCCGGUGAUAAGCCGAGAGGAAGGUGGGGAUGACGUCAAGUCCUCAUGGCCCUUACGGCUGGGCUACACACGUGCUACAAUGGUGGUGACAGUGGGCAGCGAGACCGCGAGGUCGAGCUAAUCUCCAAAAGCCAUCUCAGUUCGGAUUGCACUCUGCAACUCGAGUGCAUGAAGUUGGAAUCGCUAGUAAUCGUGGAUCAGAAUGCCACGGUGAAUACGUUCCCGGGCCUUGUACACACCGCCCGUCACACCAUGGGAGUUGGUUUUACCCGAAGGUGCUGUGCUAACCGCAAGGAGGCAGGCAACCACGGUAGGGUCAGCGACUGGGGUGAAGUCGUAACAAGGUAGCCGUAGGGGAACGUGCGGCUGGAUCACCUCCUUUCU